AACGAACGCUGGCGGCAUGCCUAACACAUGCAAGUCGUACGAGACCUUCGGGUCUAGUGGCGCACGGGUGCGUAACGCGUGGGAACCUGCCCUUAGGUUCGGAAUAACUCCCCGAAAGGGGUGCUAAUACCGGAUAAUGUCUUCGGACCAAAGAUUUAUCGCCUUUGGAUGGGCCCGCGUUGGAUUAGCUAGUUGGUAGGGUAAAAGCCUGCCAAGGCGACGAUCCAUAGCUGGUCUGAGAGGAUGAUCAGCCACACUGGGACUGAGACACGGCCCAGACUCCUACGGGAGGCAGCAGUGGGGAAUAUUGGACAAUGGGCGAAAGCCUGAUCCAGCAAUGCCGCGUGAGUGAUGAAGGCCUUAGGGUUGUAAAGCUCUUUUACCCGGGAUGAUAAUGACAGUACCGGGAGAAUAAGCUCCGGCUAACUCCGUG
This 433-nucleotide ribosomal RNA is filed under the name uncultured bacterium. RNAcentral describes it as "partial 16S ribosomal RNA". It matches the Rfam family "Bacterial small subunit ribosomal RNA", at positions 29 to 507 of the family's 1533-position model. The record is from RNAcentral.